UACGAACUGUGCAAACGUUAUUCGGAAUCACUGGGCUUAAAGGGUGCGUAGGCGGCUUGUUAAGUAGGGUGUGAAAUCCCCCGGCUCAACCGGGGAAUUGCGCCCUAAACUGGCGAGCUGGAGUGAGAUAGGGGUGUGUGGAACUUCCAGUGGAGCGGUGAAAUGUGUUGAUAUUGGAAGGAACGCCAGUGGCGAAAGCGACACACUGGGUCU
This 213-nucleotide ribosomal RNA is filed under the name uncultured bacterium. RNAcentral describes it as "partial 16S ribosomal RNA". It matches the Rfam family "Bacterial small subunit ribosomal RNA", at positions 524 to 736 of the family's 1533-position model. The record is from RNAcentral.